UACGUAGGGUGCAAGCGUUAAUCGGAAUUACUGGGCGUAAAGCGCGCGCAGGCGGCUAUGUAAGUCAGGUGUGAAAUCCCAGGGCUUAACCUUGGAACUGCAUUUGAGACUGCAUAGCUAGAGUACGGUAGAGGGGGAUGGAAUUCCGCGUGUAGCAGUGAAAUGCGUAGAUAUGCGGAGGAACACCGAUGGCGAAGGCAAUCCCCUGGACCUGUACUGACGCUCAUGCACGAAAGCGUGGGGAGCAAACAGG
Molecule: ribosomal RNA, 253 nt
Filed under: uncultured bacterium
Lineage: Bacteria
Description: partial 16S ribosomal RNA
Rfam family: Bacterial small subunit ribosomal RNA
Source: RNAcentral